CAUGCAGUCGACGAUGAACCACUUACGGUGGGGAUUAGUGGCGAACGGGUGAGUAACACGUGGGCAAUCUGCCCUGCACUCUGGGACAAGCCCUGGAAACGGGGUCUAAUACCGGAUACUGAUCCUCGCAGGCAUCUGCGAGGUUCGAAAGCUCCGGCGGUGCAGGAUGAGCCCGCGGCCUAUCAGCUAGUUGGUGAGGUAACGGCUCACCAAGGCGACGACGGGUAGCCGGCCUGAGAGGGCGACCGGCCACACUGGGACUGAGACACGGCCCAGACUCCUACGGGAGGCAGCAGUGGGGAAUAUUGCACAAUGGGCGAAAGCCUGAUGCAGCGACGCCGCGUGAGGGAUGACGGCCUUCGGGUUGUAAACCUCUUUCAGCAGGGAAGAAGCGAAAGUGACGGUACCUGCAGAAGAAGCGCCGGCUAACUACGUGCCAGCAGCCGCGGUAAUACGUAGGGCGCAAGCGUUGUCCGGAAUUAUUGGGCGUAAAGAGCUCGUAGGCGGCUUGUCACGUCGGUUGUGAAAGCCCGGGGCUUAACCCCGGGUCUGCAGUCGAUACGGGCAGGCUAGAGUUCGGUAGGGGAGAUCGGAAUUCCUGGUGUAGCGGUGAAAUGCGCAGAUAUCAGGAGGAACACCGGUGGCGAAGGCGGAUCUCUGGGCCGAUACUGACGCUGAGGAGCGAAAGCGUGGGGAGCGAACAGGAUUAGAUACCCUGGUAGUCCACGCCGUAAACGGUGGGCACUAGGUGUGGGCAACAUUCCACGUUGUCCGUGCCGCAGCUAACGCAUUAAGUGCCCCGCCUGGGGAGUACGGCCGC
This 820-nucleotide ribosomal RNA is filed under the name Streptomyces plicatus. RNAcentral's name for it is "bacterial SSU rRNA". It matches the Rfam family "Bacterial small subunit ribosomal RNA", at positions 54 to 889 of the family's 1533-position model. Lineage: Bacteria; Bacillati; Actinomycetota; Actinomycetes; Kitasatosporales; Streptomycetaceae. The record is from RNAcentral.